This 490-nucleotide ribosomal RNA is filed under the name uncultured bacterium. Its description in RNAcentral is "partial 16S ribosomal RNA". It matches the Rfam family "Bacterial small subunit ribosomal RNA", at positions 30 to 507 of the family's 1533-position model. The record is from RNAcentral.
AUUGAACGCUGGCGGCAGGCCUAACACAUGCAAGUCGAACGGUAACAGAAAGCAGCUUGCUGCUUUGCUGACGAGUGGCGGACGGGUGAGUAAUGUCUGGGAAACUGCCUGAUGGAGGGGGAUAACUACUGGAAACGGUAGCUAAUACCGCAUAACGUCGCAAGACCAAAGAGGGGGACCUUCGGGCCUCUUGCCAUCGGAUGGGCCCAGAUGGGAUUAGCUAGUAGGUGGGGGAACGGCUCACCUAGGCGAGUAUCCCUAGCUGGUCUGAGAGGAUGAGCAGCCACACUGGAACUGAAACACGGUCCAGACUCCUACGGGAGGCAGCAGUGGGCAAUAUUGCACAAUGGGCGCAAGCCUGAUGCAGCCAUGCCGCGUGUAUGAAGAAGGCCUUCGGGUUGUAAAGUACUUUCAGCGGGGAGGAAGGGAGUAAAGUUAAUACCUUUGCUCAUUGACGUUACCCGCAGAAGAAGCACCGGCUAACUCCGUG